RNAcentral lists this unclassified non-coding RNA (293 nucleotides) under fungal sp. RNAcentral's name for it is "partial contains 5.8S ribosomal RNA, internal transcribed spacer 2, and large subunit ribosomal RNA". The record is from RNAcentral. Lineage: Eukaryota; Fungi.
CGCACAUUGCGCCUCCUGGUAUUCCGGAAGGCAUGUCUGUUUGAGCGUCAGCAAACCCCUUCAGCAUUGGUAUUUUACUGCCGACGCUGGUGAUGGGCAUUGGGGGAAGUGGCACUAACCUGCCGCCCCAGCCUUAAACUUGCUGCACGACCGUCUCUCUGGCGUGAUCAAUGGAGUGGUGUAACAAUCUUCCGUGACUCACCGCGAGCAGAGGUGGCGUUAAACCUGAUGUCUGCCGCAUGGUAGCUCUGACGUUUGACCUCAAAUCAGAUAAGGAUACCCGCUGAACUUAA